Molecule: long non-coding RNA, 212 nt
Filed under: Elaeis guineensis (African oil palm)
Lineage: Eukaryota; Viridiplantae; Streptophyta; Magnoliopsida; Arecales; Arecaceae
Description: long non-coding RNA (EGUI_LNC065047)
Source: RNAcentral
CCCACACAAAGGUAAUGUGUUUUGAACACAUAACAGUAAAAUAUUUACUGUAGAAAUUUAAAUUUUAAAUUUAAAUGCAUGCUAUGUAUAUAUCAUAUUUAGAUCCUUGUAUAGGGUUUAUAUAUAUUAAUUAAUUAGAUUAAUUAAUAAUUUUUACUGUAAAAUAGUGAUUUUGAAAAAAAUUUAAAAUUAUCAUUUUACCUCUGCACUAA